UGUACUUUCCCUUCAUGACUUAUCAGACAUUCAAAAAUUCAGUAUUGAACUUUAUAGGUGUUGAUAAAGCUCUAGUGAACCAACACCGGAUCAUUUAACUCUUAUUUAUAAUUGGAUCUGCACUGCUAUUAGGCACAAUGUUGUUUAUCUUGAUCUUUAUCUUGGUCUUUGGGAUUGCUGUGAAAUGAGUAUUGAGUUGACUCAAAGCUCCUUCUUGUGCAAAACACUAGAGGUUUUGAAGGUUGUCAUCAAAUUUUAUUACUUGUUCUCCUCCUACAUCAGGCUGUUUCCCGAGUCUCAAGGUCCUAAUUGUCCAGGUAGAGGAUCUUGAUGAUUCAGUGGCAACUGCAAAGCUAUUUUCUCAUUGCCCUGUACUUGAAGAUUUGAAUAUAGAUGUAAUUCCAAAUGCUUAUGCUUCAAAUGUCAACAUAUCUGCACCUAGAUUGAAGGCCUUAACAAAAUCGUUGAACACUAACUAUAAUGAAAAGGACGGUGAUUUUGUCCGUUUUUAUAUUGAUGCUCCAAAUCUGGAAAAGUUAUCCAUUGCGGCUGCCAAUUCUCUCUUAUUUUUGUUGGAAAUUCAAAUCAAAUCAGGUUGUAAAUGGCAGCUGCUAGCUGUUAGUUUCUUUACAGGUUGUAUUCACACUUGCUGCAACUACAAAGACUAAAGUUUCCUCCAUGUGCCAGCUGAAAGUGUGUUCAAAGACAGCAGCUGUGUGCUGCCAUGUGAUGUGCUAGCCGAAACUAUGUUGAUUGCAAGCUGGAAAGAUAGCUGCACAUGUGUGCUAGACUGUCCAAAGUUCAUAUGAUCUGUUUGUGUGUGCUAUUGUGUUUAUUUUAUUAAAAGCACUUGAGUGGUCCUUCAUUUUCUGCUUGUAUAAAUAAGCCUCCCGUAAGGCUUUAGGAUGAGUCUCUGAUUUGUCAUUCCAUGUCAGAAGUGUUUGCAAAUUGUUUUAAAUAUAUCAAAGUGCAUUGUUUGCCGAAGCUUGUAGCUUCCCUCCUUUCUCUAUUUCUUUGUCCAAUUUUAUUGAGAGUGCAAAGUGAGAGGUGUGAUAGAGUUUGUAAACUUAUCACCCAUAUAUUUUGGUAUUGAGUUAGUAAACUUCUCAAUACCAACAAUUUUGGUUUGGAGAGUGAAAAAUCUCUCUAGUCGAAGAAACAGUUUAUUUCAGGAGUAUAGUUGAAUAUUCUUCCGCCAUUGAUGACUGUGCAACUAAGUUUCUAGCAGGAAUUUCUAAUGUUAGAAUCUAUCUCUUACGGUUUCAAUUUUUGAGGCUUCGUGUUUGCCUACUUUUGAAAAUCUGAUUCAACUCGAGCUGAAUUUUAGUGGUCGGAAGAUCAAAGAUACUGUCAUUCAGAGGCUUAUGCCACUCAUCAUCCAUUGGACAACAAAAUGGUUUGAGGAACAUGAGCAUAAAUGGAAUGUGAGCAAUAAUCCACCAGACAUCGUGCCUCUUUGUUUGUUGUCACAUCUCCAGACCAUCUCCAUAAGGUGUUUCAAGGGUCAGCGAGAUGAGAUGGAAGUUGCUAAAUACUUUUUGAAGAAUGGCAAAGUUUUAAAUAAGAUGACUAUUCAUACACUUCUCCUAGAACACAUAAAUUUUUGUGUUCGGAAGAUGAGAUGUGCAGGAAAAUCUCAACAUUUGAAAAGGGUUCAAUGACUUGUCAAGUUGAAUUUGUAAAGAUGGGUGAUAGAUACUAGAGGGGGUCAAAGGACGUGUUAUUGCUGCUAAACAAUUUUCUCUGUUGAUUGAAGAUGCUCUUUUUCUUGUG
Malus domestica (apple) is the source of this 1773-nucleotide non-coding RNA. Lineage: Eukaryota; Viridiplantae; Streptophyta; Magnoliopsida; Rosales; Rosaceae. The record is from RefSeq and is a predicted model, not a curated record.